This 334-nucleotide long non-coding RNA is filed under the name Elaeis guineensis (African oil palm). Its description in RNAcentral is "long non-coding RNA (EGUI_LNC077586)". The record is from RNAcentral. Lineage: Eukaryota; Viridiplantae; Streptophyta; Magnoliopsida; Arecales; Arecaceae.
ACCGCCACGGUGACUUACAAGCAACUCACUGUACUUAGGCACUGGACUACCUGAAUUUUUAAUUCAGUGACGGAAGGUUGCUGGGUGUAGUCAAGUACUUGACUUGUCGGUGCGUGUGUCAAGAUGGGAUUGACCACUUCAGUUUAGGAGCUAUAUACAAUUGUGUUUCAAUUUAGCAAAAUCUUGACCAGGGUAGUCCUUGUGAGGAGUCACAGGACUGUUUGAGUUGAGCACGAUUCGGAUGAUCUGAUCAGGGUUGACAGUUUAACCCUGAGUCAUCCUAAACACAGGGGUCAAAAGGAUGAAUUAUACAGUAACCAUAUUCAUGUAGAUU